ACUGAAUAUUGGCAAACAUGUAUAUAUCCAUUUUCACUUACUUUGUUGUUUCUGAAAGUGAAAGGGACAAAGGAUAGCGCAGAGAGCAGAGAACAAAUGGAGUAUGUUGAAAUUUUUGGUCGAAUUUACAGUCCAUUAGCUUUCAUAAAUAUAUCACAACUAGCAUGCCUACAUCCUCACAACAUUGAUGAAGAUAUGCUUGAUAACUACUCCCUCCG
This 218-nucleotide long non-coding RNA is filed under the name Hordeum vulgare. Its description in RNAcentral is "long non-coding RNA (HVUL_LNC018242)". Lineage: Eukaryota; Viridiplantae; Streptophyta; Magnoliopsida; Poales; Poaceae. The record is from RNAcentral.